ACAGCAGUUGUAAAGUGGGCAUCAAGUCAACAUCACACUGUGGCUCUGGAUUGUUGUACAUAAUUACACGGUGCUCCACGGCUACUCAGAGCUUGUUGAAGGAGAAUAAAGAUGACAAAUACUGACACUGGAGAAAAGUAAAGUAACUCCCUGAGCGUGGUAAUAGAUUAACAAUUAAAAAGAUCAACAACUACAUUAAGCAUGGCUGCCCUCGGUGUGCACUGCAGGCACAUUAUCACAGCUCAUAAUGGUGGUGUGUGUGUGUGUGUGUGUGUGUCCGCUCUUCUGUGUUUAACUUGUUUUGCCCUCACAUGAUGAAUGGCACAGGAACAGACUGAGAUAUGCACGUGCACACGUACGUGUACACACACACACACACACACACACACACACACACCCUCUCUCUCAGGGAACUCGGACCUGCUGAAAACACUCAGAUACAGAAUUCCGACCGUCCACGGAGGCACAAUUGCUCCAGAGGAGGAGGUGAGGCAGCUAUGAUGCUGCUAAUUAUCUCCUAUUGUUAUUCAGAUUCCCUAAAGCAGGCAGCGGUGUCGCGCUCUUAACCCCUUUUGCUCAGCAGUCCUUUCGUCAGGAGACAGUCUCAUGUCCGCUGGUGGACGCCCACAGAAUAGUGAUAAUUACACCGUUUAGCUUCGCCUUCAAGGCCUGACACUCGCAAGACGUGUUUACCAGAGUGCGCCAUGGCAACCUGUCAGCCGCUCAACGUCUUCAUGGACUCAGGUCAGAGGAACGCAGGCUUUGGUUCGUGACCUCCUGGAAGCUUUGGAUAACACUCAUACACAACGUCCAGAGAUUCACUCCUGUUGUAUACGAAGCUGCAGGUUUCUGACGCACCAUCGUUGACCGGCAUUUUAGUUACUUUAGACUCCAUAACAGAAGGGGAAGUAGUGUUAUUUUCAACACAAUGUAUUAUCUUACUAACUUUAUUCUUCAUUUAUGUCACGGCUAUAAAACAAAAGUAUUUGUGUCUGUCUCUCUCUCUGGUGUUGGUGUUGAAGGUUGCAGACCCCAGGUCUCGACUACAGGCUGCCACCACGUUCACGUCAGGUGCUGGUUUUGCCUAAAUCUUAUGGGGUAAAAUGAUUUCCUAUUAGGCAGGCUGGAUAUACUAGGAUGUGCUGGGCAGCUUAGCGUCACCAGGCACAUCCAGCGCUCACAUUCUACAGUGCCAGGAAUUGGGACAUGCCUCGGGCUGCGCUGUGACAAAUUUUGACAACAAGCUGACAAUUUAAUCAGCUGCAUUCAGCUGAAACCCUUAAAUUGAGACAAAGGUGAUGUUGGCUGCUGUCAGCCAUUUUUUUCACUCUGCAUAUUCUCUUCCUGUGGGUUUUUUAAGGGUCCUUGUUCUGUGUAGAACACUGACUGCAUGUCAGUUCCUCGUACGACUACACUUCAAAAAAGCUGACCCGUCUCUUUUAAAUUAAAAAGAGAGUUCCAUUUGAUAAUUGCUGACACCGCACUUUCUGCCCCUCUUUCAUUUAUCGAUCAGGGGUUGAUAGAAACACCGCCACAGUGAUUAGGCAGGCGGAGCUGUGCUAACGUACGAUAUCGAACAGCGGGGGGGCGACCAGCAUGGGGCGCACAGAGGUUAUCUGUGGCCCGGUGCUCACUCCCAACAACCACCAGAGCUCUUAAUUAAUGGAAGAUGAAUACAAGAUGCAGGUUAUGACUUUAGCUAAUUAGGGAAGCGUUAAAUAGAGAGAGACACGGCGGAGCUGCUGGAGUUCCGCGGAGGCUGGACAUGGAGAAUCAAUGGUCAAGGAAGGAAGGGAGCAUGUAGGCAAUUUGCCAGUUAAUGGGUUCCCAAUAUCAGCUGAGGACGGUGGAGUGUGGCGGCGUGUGCGUACCGACUGUUUUACAUGUAUUGACAAACACAAGACCUCUAAGGACAACGCCGGGAGUGGAGUAAAUAUAAACGCUGUGAGACUAAAGAAAUACAAGCCAUCGAUUACCACCAACCUUUCUUUAAAUAUUUAACUAAAAUCUGAAAAAGAGAGAAUUGGAGAGAAAUGCUUUUCUGUGAAUUUGUUGUUGUGAAAUAAAUGUAAACAUUCCAAGUAAUGUUUUAAAAGUAGAGUUUGGCUAAAGGGAAAGUUUAUGUUUUUAUAAGUGCAGUGUUUGAGAUGCUAAUGCCUUGAUGCAGGUUUGCAUAAAUGAAUGUGGAACAGAAAAUGUUACAGCGCAUACAUUACAGAGUACACAGUACUGUAUAUUUAUACACUGUGUUUUUCCCCUCAGCCUGGGUUUGUCAUUUAAAUGUUGGGCUACCAAACAAAAAAUUAAAUGUAAUUAGUCCCGAUUAUUCAAGAUAAACGACAUUCUUAAAUAAACAGCUGUUUUAAUUUGUGACUAAUCCUAAUGAUGUAAUGAUUAAUAUGAAAAAUGUCAAGAAACAAAAAUCAAAAUUUAGCUCCAUAGAGUUGGUGGAUUUUUCACUUUUACUGUGUAUCUUGACAUUGACUUACAGAACUACAGAAGAGUUGCUUUUAAAACUGCUGAGAUCGUUGUAGCCUCUACAAACACAUGCCUUACGUUGAGUUGGUAUUUUAAGCUUGAGCUGCAGUAAAAA
Molecule: long non-coding RNA, 2593 nt
Organism: Cynoglossus semilaevis (tongue sole)
Lineage: Eukaryota; Metazoa; Chordata; Actinopteri; Pleuronectiformes; Cynoglossidae
Exons: 2
Source: RefSeq, a predicted model, not a curated record